AGCAGCCGCGGUAAUUCCAGCUCCAAUAGCGUAUAUUAAAGUUGCUGCAGUUAAAAAGCUCGUAGUUGAAUUUCGGGACUAAUAUGUUGGUCGUGCCUCGGUACGUACUGAUAUUUUUUGGUUUCUCCCUUCUGACGAACCUUGAUGUCAUUAAUUUGGUGUCUUGGGAAAUCAGGACUGUUACUUUGAAAAAAAUUAGAGUGUUUAAAGCAAGCUAACGCUUGAAUACGUUAGCAUGGAAUAAUGAAAUAGGACGUUCGAUCCUAUUUUGUUGGUUUCUAGGAUUGACGUAAUGAUUAAUAGGGAUAGUUGGGGGGCAUUAGUAUUCAAUUGUCAGAGGUGAAAAUUCUUGGAUUUAUUGAAGACUAAACUACUGCGAAAGCAUUUGCCAAGGAUGUUUUUCAUUAAUCAAGAACGAAAGUUAGGGGAUCGAAGACGAUCAGAUACCGUCGUAGUCUUAACCAUAAACUAUGCCGACUAGGGAUCGGAUGAUGUUAAUUUUUUUAAUGACUCAUUCGGC
This 520-nucleotide ribosomal RNA is filed under the name uncultured Glomus. RNAcentral's name for it is "partial 18S ribosomal RNA". It matches the Rfam family "Eukaryotic small subunit ribosomal RNA", at positions 569 to 1084 of the family's 1831-position model. Lineage: Eukaryota; Fungi; Glomeromycota; Glomeromycetes; Glomerales; Glomeraceae. The record is from RNAcentral.